GACGAACGCUGGCGGCGUGCCUAAUACAUGCAAGUCGAACGCAGUGGGGACGGGUGAGUAACACGUUGGUAACCUCCCCAUCAGAGGGGAUAACCCUUGGAACCAGGUGCUAAACCGAUACUGAUGGUUGGACCCGCGGUGCAGUAGCUAGUUGGUGAGUUAACGGCUCACCAAGGCCACGAUGCAUAGCCGACCUGAGAGGGUGAUCGGCCACACUGGGACUGAGACACGGCCCAGAAUCCGACGGGAGGCAGCAGUAGGGAAUCUUGGGCAAUGGACGAAAGUCUGACCGAGCAACGCCGCGUGAGUGAAGAAGGUUUUCGGAUCGUAAAACUCUGUUGGUAGAGAAGCGGUAUCUAAAGAGAAAGCCACGGCUAACUACGUGCCAGCAGCCGCGGUAAUAC
This 404-nucleotide ribosomal RNA is filed under the name uncultured bacterium. RNAcentral's name for it is "partial 16S ribosomal RNA". It matches the Rfam family "Bacterial small subunit ribosomal RNA", at positions 28 to 526 of the family's 1533-position model. The record is from RNAcentral.